AUUGAACGCUGGCGGCAUGCCUUACACAUGCAAGUCGAACGGUAACGCGGGGCGAACCUGGCGACGAGUGGCGAACGGGUGAGUAAUAUAUCGGAACGUGCCCAGUAGUGGGGGAUAGCCCGGCGAAAGCCGGAUUAAUACCGCAUACGACCUAAGGGUGAAAGCGGGGGAUCGCAAGACCUCGCGCUAUUGGAGCGGCCGAUAUCAGAUUAGGUAGUUGGUGGGGUGAAGGCCUACCAAGCCGACGAUCUGUAGCUGGUCUGAGAGGACGACCAGCCACACUGGGACUGAGACACGGCCCAGACUCCUACGGGAGGCAGCAGUGGGGAAUUUUGGACAAUGGGCGCAAGCCUGAUCCAGCCAUGCCGCGUGCGGG
Molecule: ribosomal RNA, 376 nt
Filed under: uncultured bacterium
Lineage: Bacteria
Description: bacterial SSU rRNA
Rfam family: Bacterial small subunit ribosomal RNA
Source: RNAcentral